This 60-nucleotide transfer RNA is filed under the name Franciscoloa funerei. Its description in RNAcentral is "tRNA-Thr". Lineage: Eukaryota; Metazoa; Arthropoda; Insecta; Psocodea; Menoponidae. The record is from RNAcentral.
GGUUUAAUAGUUUAAUAAAAAUUUCGAUAUUGUAAAUCGAAGAUGGCAUACCUUAAACUU